ACCGGAGAGGUAAGAGGUACUCCAGGGGUAGGAGUGAAAUCUUGUAAUCCCUAUGGGACCACCAGUGGCGAAGGCGUCUUACCAGAACGGGUCCGACGGUGAGGGACGAAAGCUGGGGGCACGAACCGGAUUAGAUACCCGGGUAGUCCCAGCCGUAAACGAUGCUCGCUAGGUGUCUGGAAUGGUGCGACCGUUUCAGGUGCCGCAGGGAAGCCGUGAAGCGAGCCACCUGGGAAGUACGGCCGCAAGGCUGAAACUUAAAGGAAUUGGCGGGGGAGCACUACAACGGGUGGAGCCUGCGGUUUAAUUGGACUCAACGCCGGACAACUCACCGGGGGCGACAGCAACAUGUAGGUCAAGCUAAAGACUUUACCUGAAUCGCUGAGAGGAGGUGCAUGGCCGUCGUCAGUUCGUACUGUGAAGCAUCCUGUUAAGUCAGGCAACGAGCGAGACCCGUGCCCACUGUUGCCAGCAUAUCCUUUUUGGAUGAUGGGUACUCUGUGGGGACCGCCGAUGCUAAAUCGGAGGAAGGUGCGGGCUACGGUAGGUCAGUAUGCCCCGAAUCUCCCGGGCGACACGCGGGCUACAAUGGUUGGGACAAUGGGCUCCUACACUGAAAAGUGACGGUAAUCUCAUAAACCCAGCCGUAGUUCGAAUUGAGGGCUGAAACCCGCCCUCAUGAAGCUGGAAUCAGUAGUAAUCGCG
RNAcentral lists this ribosomal RNA (705 nucleotides) under uncultured Methanohalophilus sp. RNAcentral describes it as "bacterial SSU rRNA". It matches the Rfam family "Archaeal small subunit ribosomal RNA", at positions 598 to 1302 of the family's 1478-position model. The record is from RNAcentral. Lineage: Archaea; Methanobacteriati; Methanobacteriota; Methanomicrobia; Methanosarcinales; Methanosarcinaceae.